UGGGGUAUCGCCAAGCGGUAAGGCAUGGGAUUUUGAUUCCCAGACGCGUCGGUUCGAAUCCGGCUAUCCCAA
RNAcentral lists this transfer RNA (72 nucleotides) under Parabacteroides sp. RNAcentral describes it as "tRNA-Gln". It matches the Rfam family "tRNA". Rfam says of the family: Transfer RNA (tRNA) molecules are approximately 80 nucleotides in length. Their secondary structure includes four short double-helical elements and three loops (D, anti-codon, and T loops). Lineage: Bacteria; Pseudomonadati; Bacteroidota; Bacteroidia; Bacteroidales; Tannerellaceae. The record is from RNAcentral.